RNAcentral lists this unclassified non-coding RNA (1508 nucleotides) under Hevea brasiliensis (rubber tree). Lineage: Eukaryota; Viridiplantae; Streptophyta; Magnoliopsida; Malpighiales; Euphorbiaceae. The record is from RNAcentral.
ACAAAGUGGGUGUUAAUUAAUUAUUUUAUAUUAGCUUUUAACUUCUCUUUGUUAAUGGUUACUGUAUAUGCUCCAUGUGCUGAUUAGGAUUAGCUUUUUUAGUGGAAUGAGAUCGAGCAAGCUUCAUCCACAGGGUCUAGCUCAUUACUAUUAUCCAAUGAUUUUAAUUAGAUCUUAGAUGAAUCUGAAAGAAAACGCGGGUAUUACUCUCCUAUUAGGGUGCACAAUUUCAAGUCUUUCAUUGAUUAGUGCUUACUGAUCUAGACUUAACUGGUAAACACUUCAAAUGGCGCAAAUCCAGAUGUGUGAGUCAAAUUCAUAAAGUUUUAGUAUCACACUACUAGUUAUCUACUUUUCUAAAACUUCUCCUCACUAGUUUUCCUAGAGGCAGCUCCGACCAUAAUCCUAUUCUUCUCACCACAAAUAAAGUGGACUGGGGGCCUAAGCCCAUUAGAUUUCUAGAUGUAUGGUGGACAUGGCUCGGAUUUUACAAUAUUGUCAGAGGUUUUUAGGAUGAAAUAUAUACAAUAAAUACUUGUACUUUAUUACUUUACUGAUUGAAAUUUCUGCGUCAGAAGUUAAAGGCUUAGAGUGAUUCUAAGUUUGGUCAUGCAGAUUUAAAGCUCCAACAUUUUAAGAAGCUCUUGGAAGAAUGAGAGAAUACUGCAAAAACUCGUGACUUGCUCUCUCAUGAGCUUGAUGAGGUCCAAUCUUUGUGAUGGGAAAAAGCAACUUUAUCAACUUGAUGUGAAAACAUUUGAAGGCUGAAGUCAAGGCUACAUCAUGUCUUCAAAAACUAGAAGUAAAGAAACUACUAGGUUUCAGGACAUGAAGGGAAGUCCUAUUACAGUUGAUCCAAAUGUUGCAGGUUCUGCUUAUGGUGGAACAGUUCAAGAGGUGACCAUCGCAUGGAGAGGAAGUCCAUAUUCCAAAUGCAACAGAGGCUGUACUUACCUUGCAUAGUAAUCCAAUCUAGGAAAGGGGUGGAAUAGUUAAUAAUGUUUUUGAUAUGGAAAAACUAGCAUCAACUAUCACAAAUGCUUUGAUAAAAGGCAUAAAUUCAUGGGUGGAUAAAUUUCAUCAAUUAGAUGCACAAUUUAUUUCUAUGGAAUAUAACAUUCCAAUAUCUAUGCUACUUCUUAAUGGCCAGAUUCCUAGGUUAGAGGCAUCUGAUUCGGCAUCUAGGAGUGCCAGGGAAAUCAAGGGAAAGUCUUUACCAUAACUCCUCAAGCCAAUUCUGAAGCAAGGUACUAGCCACCCCCACGGGAGAGAUGAGUAAGUGGCAUGCCAAUCUAGACCAUCUGUGUAAGUCAGCCGCCCCUGCAAUAAAAUAGGUGCUCCCAUCCAAAUUAUUGGAAGUAGUAAACCUAUGACUCAUACAAGUAUUUAUAAUGCAAAGAUAAUCACAGGUUCUCAAACCACUCUAGCACCUCAGCAGAUGCUUACAGCUUAGCUGGCCUUUGGUUUUGGGGGUAAUAGUCACAUGAAGGAACGGAAGCGUGAAAAAC